Molecule: ribosomal RNA, 945 nt
Filed under: Triticum aestivum (bread wheat)
Lineage: Eukaryota; Viridiplantae; Streptophyta; Magnoliopsida; Poales; Poaceae
Description: partial small subunit ribosomal RNA
Source: RNAcentral
AUGGAAGGCGGCGCAGUCCAGAUCGUAUCUCGGCGCACGGUCAAGCCAGAUUACCAAACGAGCACCCGGCCGCCGGAGCCCGAGACCGUCCACCUGACGCCGUGGGACCUGCGGCGGAUCACGGUGGACUACAUCCAGAAGGGGGUCGUCCUGCCCAAGCCUCCGCCCGGCGCGCACGCCGUCGAACACCUCGCGUCGUCCUUCGCGCGCGCCGUGGGCCGCUUCUACCCCCUCGCCGGCCGCUUCACCGUCGCGCCGGGGGCCACCGACGACGACGGGGCGCCGUCACCUCGGCCGAGCUUGACGAUCUCGCUCCGCUGCGGCGACGAAGGCGCCGACUUCGUCCACGCCGUGGCGCCCGGGGUGGCUGUCGCCGACAUCGCCGGCCCGCUUCACGUCAUCCCACGGGUGGUGUGGUCCUUCUUCCCUCUCAGCGGGAUGCUCGGCGCCGACGCCGUCGUCGACCCCGGCCGGCCGGUCCUGGCCGCGCAGGUCACGGAGCUCGCCGAUGGCCUCGUGGUCGCCAUGUCGCUGAACCACGGCGCCGCCGACGGGACCACGUUCUGGGACCUGUUCAACGCAUGGUCGGAUAUCAGCCGGAGCCGCGCCGCCGCCAACGGAGACAUCUCCACGGUGGCCCCACCUCCUAAGAGAUGGUUCCUCGACGGCUGCACCGUGCCGAUCCCUCUCCCCUUUGCCAGGGUGGAGGACAUCGCCAGGCGGUUCGAGUACCCGCCGGUGCAGGAAUGCUCGCUCCGUUUCUCGUCGGAGAGCGUGAAGAAGCUGAAGGCAAAAGCGAACGCCGAGAUGGCCACCGGCACAGCCACCAUCUCCUCCUUGCAAGCCGUGCUUGCACAGCUAUGGCGAGCAAUGUGCCGGCCCGUGGGCUCGCGCCGGACCAGGAGACGUCGUGCGCGCUUCCCGUCGGAUGCCGGACACGCGUGA